CGUAAACGAUGAUCACUCGCUGUAUGCGAUACACAGUAUGCGGCCAAGCGAAAGCAUUAAGUGAUCCACCUGGGGAGUACGAUCGCAAGGUUGAAACUCAAAGGAAUUGACGGGGGCCCGCACAAGCGGAGGAACAUGUGGUUUAAUUCGAUGAUACGCGAGGAACCUUACCUGGGCUUAAAUGGGGGACGACAGCUGCCGAAAGGUGGCCUUCUUCGGACGUCCUUCAAGGUGCUGCAUGGUUGUCGUCAGCUCGUGCCGUGAGGUGUCGGGUUAAGUCCCAUAACGAGCGCAACCCUUAUCGUUAGUUGCCAGCGGGUCAUGCCGGGGACUCUAGCGAGACUGCCACCGUAAGGUGUGAGGAAGGUGGGGAUGACGUCAAAUCAGCACGGCCCUUAUGUCCAGGGCUACACACGUGUUACAAUGGCCAAUACAAAGGGCAGCUACCGGGUGACCGGAUGCUAAUCUCUAAAGUUGGUCUCAGUUCGGAUCGAAGUCUGCAACCCGACUUCGUGAAGCUGGAUUCGCUAGUAAUCGCACAUCAGCCAUGGUGCGGUGAAUACGUUCCCGGGCCUUGUACACACCGCCCGUCAAACAAUGGAAGCUGGGGGUACCUGAAGUCUGUAACCGCGAGGAGCGGCCUAGGGUAAAACUAGUAACUGGUGUUAAGUCGUAACAAGGUAACCAAG
Molecule: ribosomal RNA, 689 nt
Filed under: uncultured bacterium
Lineage: Bacteria
Description: bacterial SSU rRNA
Rfam family: Bacterial small subunit ribosomal RNA
Source: RNAcentral